UGAAGGCUGUGGGAAUUCAGUGUACCACUUGCCCAACUUUUUAAGUAGUUUUCCUCACAAUUGAUAUGACGGAAACAUCCUGAGAGGAGCUUAAUUUAACUUUAUAGGAAGCAAAAAUAGUUAAAUAGUUUGCACUGGAAAGGAUUCACUGAUGCUGCCUGACCUGAUGAGUUCCUCCAGCGUCAUCGUGUUUUUCAUCUAGAUUCCAGCAUCUGCAGUCCUUUGUUUCUUUGGAGAGGCCAUGUUAGAGGAAUGAACCAGUGAAAACCAAGCAUUGGAUCUCAAAGAGGAAGACGUUCAUGCAAAAAAAACAUUGAAACUGACAUAAGAGCCAAAUCUAAGCUGGUCAAGAAUGGAGGAACAGGUCAUCAGCUGGCACAUGCUGGCCAAAGAAGAGGUUGUCUCCAAAUGGAUCAGAGCCUCCAGCUCAAGCAUCAAUUGAGGAGCAGCUUCACAACUAUGAGGAUCUUCACAGAUUUCUGGUGCUCCUGAUUAUUAUUUCAAUCAAUUUAAUGCUGCAAUAUUUUUAAUGAGCAGCAAAUUUAUUUUUCCGUUUAUUGACAACUUUAUUUUUCAGAGUAUGAACAUAAAUUCUGUACACUUAAAUAAUUAUUUGUCUAUGCAAAGUAAGUGACACUUCACAUUGAUUAUUUUGUCUGUAAUAAAUUCUAAGUGGCCAGUGCAGUUAAGUCCCAUUUAUUUUGUAUUUAUGUGUUUCUGAAAGAGAACCGGUAGAGAUUAAAGGAAGUUAAUAAAACUAUGAAAUGAUUCCAAGAUUAGUUACUCUGCCAUAUGAGUAAAGAAAGGAAGUCUGGUUGGAAUUGUGCAAGAAUAUGAAUAUGCAAUUUUUGGAAGGUUUCUUAGACUAGAAACUGUAUAGAAAGUGAUAAAGUGCACUACAGUGGUAGAAGACACCCAAUGUGCAUGAAGUCAAGCAGGUUAGCAGAGCAAGUCCCCAAAUGUUAGGAGGGUUACACACAGCAACUCGCUUAAUUUCAAGAGUGGCACAAGUAAUAUGAUCUCACAGCAAGGUUGCAGCCUUUACAAUGACAGUUCUCAAUGGGAAUCACCACUUGUAGUACUGGAGCCUGAUCUGCAGACUGAACCAAGGAGUGGAGGGAUGGAGAAAGGAGCAGAUACCCUGCUUCUCUGAUAGACACCAGAUGCCUAGUGGUGAAGGUGGACACUGAGAGCACAUAUCAUAGCAGUCUGGAUUCUCCAUCCCAGCCAAGGGGAAGAAACUCAGAGUCAUCUCAUUCAUCGGACACGAUUGCACGGCUGGUUUCAGUGGCAGAUUUUCCAGUAGCAGUUAAGAAAUGGACAGUCUCUUUAAGUUACCCUUGAGCAGU
Molecule: long non-coding RNA, 1349 nt
Organism: Pristis pectinata (smalltooth sawfish)
Lineage: Eukaryota; Metazoa; Chordata; Chondrichthyes; Rhinopristiformes; Pristidae
Exons: 4
Source: RefSeq, a predicted model, not a curated record